GACGAACGCUGGCGGCGUGCUUAACACAUGCAAGUCGAACGGAAAGGCCCUGCUUGUGUGGGGUUCUCGAGGGGCGAAGGGGUGAGUAACACGAGUAUAACCUGCCCUUGACUUUGGGAUAACUUCAGGAAACGGGGGCUAAUACCGUAUAGGAGCCCCCGCUGCGGGGGGGGGGGGGGAAAGUUGGGGCGGUUGGGGCUGGACUCGCGGCUUAUGAGCUUGGUGGUGGGGGAGUGGCUUCCCAAGCGUUUGCCGGGUAGCCGGCCUGGGAGGGUGACCGGCCCCCUUGGGCCUGCGGUAGGCCCCAGAGCCCAACGGGGGGCAGCGGUGGGGAAUCUUGCCCAGUGGGCGGAAGCCUGUUGCGGAAACGCCGGGGGCGGAAUGCCGGCUUUCGGGUUGUAACCCGCUUUCGCCUGUGACGAAGCGUGUGUGACGGUAAUGGGUAAAGAAGCACCGGCUAACUACGUG
This 468-nucleotide ribosomal RNA is filed under the name uncultured bacterium. RNAcentral's name for it is "partial 16S ribosomal RNA". It matches the Rfam family "Bacterial small subunit ribosomal RNA", at positions 28 to 507 of the family's 1533-position model. The record is from RNAcentral.